RNAcentral lists this long non-coding RNA (397 nucleotides) under Olea europaea (common olive). Its description in RNAcentral is "long non-coding RNA (OEUR_LNC001287)". Lineage: Eukaryota; Viridiplantae; Streptophyta; Magnoliopsida; Lamiales; Oleaceae. The record is from RNAcentral.
UACCUCAAAUCAUAAUUAAAACAAUUUAAAAUAAACAUAAAAUAAUGCAGUAUACAGUACUCAAAUAAAGGUUGUAAAACUAUGAUUAUCAUUCGAUAAUUAGUUGGCCACAGCAACAGUUUUCCAUUUCUCUUUCCUUACAGAGAUAAAAUCAUAAGCUUUCUGGUCAAUUCCAGGCUCAGCAACCCACCGGUCUCUGUCUUCGUCACUAUGCCAUAUUUUGUAAGCCUUCACAGAGUCAUAAUCCCUCGUACUUUCUGAUAUCGAUGCCCUUGAACUUUUCGCUUUGAAGAUGCUAAGGAGGGAAAAAGAAGAACCAGAUGAAGAUUUCUUGAUUUUCCUGUUGUUGCCUGCCAUGUUUUCUAUCUUUUACAGUGUGUUUUUUCAAGAAACAAAC